This 722-nucleotide ribosomal RNA is filed under the name uncultured Fusobacterium sp. Its description in RNAcentral is "bacterial SSU rRNA". It matches the Rfam family "Bacterial small subunit ribosomal RNA", at positions 28 to 776 of the family's 1533-position model. The record is from RNAcentral. Lineage: Bacteria; Fusobacteriati; Fusobacteriota; Fusobacteriia; Fusobacteriales; Fusobacteriaceae.
GAUGAACGCUGACAGAAUGCUUAACACAUGCAAGUCAACUUGAACUUCGGUUUGGGUGGCGGACGGGUGAGUAACGCGUAAAGAACUUGCCUCACAGAUAGGGACAACAUUUGGAAACGAAUGCUAAUACCUGAUAUUAUGAUUUUAGGGCAUCCUAGAAUUAUGAAAGCUAUAUGCGCUGUGAGAGAGCUUUGCGUCCCAUUAGCUAGUUGGAGAGGUAACGGCUCACCAAGGCGAUGAUGGGUAGCCGGCCUGAGAGGGUGAUCGGCCACAAGGGGACUGAGACACGGCCCUUACUCCUACGGGAGGCAGCAGUGGGGAAUAUUGGACAAUGGACCAAGAGUCUGAUCCAGCAAUUCUGUGUGCACGAUGAAGUUUUUCGGAAUGUAAAGUGCUUUCAGUUGGGAAGAAAAAAAUGACGGUACCAACAGAAGAAGUGACGGCUAAAUACGUGCCAGCAGCCGCGGUAAUACGUAUGUCACAAGCGUUAUCCGGAUUUAUUGGGCGUAAAGCGCGUCUAGGUGGUUAUAUAAGUCUGAUGUGAAAAUGCAGGGCUCAACUCUGUAUUGCGUUGGAAACUGUGUAACUAGAGUACUGGGGAGGUAAGCGGAACUACAAGUGUAGAGGUGAAAUUCGUAGAUAUUUGUAGGAAUGCCGAUGGGGAAGCCAGCUUACUGGACAGAUACUGACGCUGAAGCGCGAAAGCGUGGGUAGCAAACAGG